This 1482-nucleotide long non-coding RNA is filed under the name Homo sapiens (human). RNAcentral's name for it is "non-protein coding lnc-FXYD4-8:2". The record is from RNAcentral. Lineage: Eukaryota; Metazoa; Chordata; Mammalia; Primates; Hominidae.
GCCCCUUGCGGGAAGGCCUCCCAGAGGCCGUGGGGUCGUUUCUGGCGGCCUAAGUGGGCCUAACUUUUAGAGUCCCGAGGGUCGUCGCUGCCGGGGAGAUCUCCGCCCCAUUUCCGUGCCGCCUUGUCCUCAGGGCCCAAAGCCCCCUGCGCUAAGGGCCCUGUCCCAUCUCUGCCCUACACGCGGGAGUCAGCCUAAGGCGGAGCCCUAGGACAGCAGCCGCGCCUGACGCUGCUCGCCUGCCUAGCACAGGCAGGGGGUGAGCGGAGUCGGCUGCCUCCCUCCCCAGGGCCCUCCAAGGGAGUGGGCUCCACAUCCAUGGGCCCGAGGAAUCUGCGGAGAGACGGGAAGAGCAGGGGACACUCACAGGGCGGGGGUCCAGGCGGGAGUCCAGUAGUCCUCGUGGAGACAGCUGGGAAAGGCCUCGGGGCAAGGGACCUCGGAUUUCCUCCUCUGCCUCAAAACAGACAGUCUAAGCUGGGUUGUGAAGAAAGCUUGUUAACCUCAAGAUUCAGAAGCACCGUUCACAGCACAAGCUUUGGAGUCAAAUUCAGGCUGUUAACUUGCUGCGUGCGCCCCCGACUUACCUCUUUCUGCCUGUUUGCUCAUCCGUAAAAUGGGAACUGUGACUGAGUCUACUUUGAAUCUGAUUAUGCUGCAUGAACUCAGAAGACAGGGCUCAGUUGAGUGACUGCUCAGUUUACAAGAGCUGUUACUGUAGUUGGGAAGCGCCCUGAGACAUACAUGCACUGCAAAGUAUACAAAGGACCUGGUGCAGAGGAAGGGAAGUCUGUGGUCCAGAGUGGCACCUGAAGAUGAGCAUUUCGCAACUGGGACUCCUCCCUGCCACCUGGCCUCCCCUACUCAAUGAGCUUUUCCCUGUUGCUCUAUGAAGAACAUAGAUGUGUCCAUGAAGGUAUUAAUUUCCCUGAGGAAAGGUAAUAAAGACUGGAAUGUACCCAGAUAUAAAAUAAAAGGGAAGUGGCAAGUAUCUUACCUGGCACACAGUGGGAACAUAACCUGAGAUUUCUAUUUUCCAAGAUGGACUGAACGUCACAGGCAUCAGUAGAAGGCUGAGAUGGUCUAUUUUGAGGAGUGCUGUACGUGUUCGCGUGUGUGUGUGCACGUGCACACCCAUACACACACACACACACAGACUGAGAUUUUAAAAGACCCAGUAAAGCCACACCCAGUGGCUCGUGCCUGUCAUCCUAGCACUUUGGGAGGCUGAGUUGGGAGGAUCACUUAAGACCACGAGUUCAAGACCAGCCUGGGCAACAUAGGGAGGCCCCGAUUCUACAAAAAUUUAAAAUAUUGAUUGGGUAUGUUGGUGCAUGCCUGCAGUCCCAGCUACUUGGGAGGCUGAGGUGAGAUGAUUACUUGAGCCUGGCAGCGGGUCAAGGUUACAGUGAACCAUGAUAGCACCACUACACACCAGCCUAGGUGACAGCAAGACCUUGUCUCAAAAAAAAAAAAAAAAAA